RNAcentral lists this long non-coding RNA (906 nucleotides) under Phascolarctos cinereus (koala). Its description in RNAcentral is "lncRNA (ENSPCIG00000009389.2)". Lineage: Eukaryota; Metazoa; Chordata; Mammalia; Diprotodontia; Phascolarctidae. The record is from RNAcentral.
GGUGAAUAAAAUUUUCCCUCGGCUUUCUAAGAAACCGGGCUGAUAAAUUUCUAGAAACCUAGCUGCAGAAAUUGUGGCUCAGAGCCAUCCGUGUAGGAUGGAGCUGCCCAUGACAGAAGUUGUUUAGGCAAAACAUUCAACUUGGGUCUCCCCAUCACAAACCACUUGUAGCCAGAGGAAAGGAAAGGAGCCCACAUGACUUGAAAUCUCCUCUGGUUAAAUAUCAUAUGGGGCUACUUAGUAUUUCACUGGGGAUUGCAUUAGUUGCAUAUUAAAUAUCAAAGUCCUGUUGGGUAAUUCCCUAACUCCAUAAAUAUAGGUGCCCUUCAGGCUCCUGGAAAUCUUCACUCAGUCAGCCUCAGGUUUGUAGGAACUGAACACAAUUGAGCCAAAGCAACUUGAGUGUGGCCUAGCCUGCUCUUGUCUCACUUGCCCUGGUCUCUCCUGAGCUGGCCUUCCCUCAUCACUCCUAUAAUUCCCAGAUUCCAGCCAUCCAGUCACCAUGAGGAUCCUCUUCCUGAUGUUUAUGAUGCUGUUUGUGAUCUUCUCCUAUUCUGGCUCAGGUUUCACCCAACUGGUGACCAUGAGGAUCCUUUAUCUGAUGUUUGUGGUGGUCUUUGUGAUCUUCUCCUCUGCUGGCAAAAUGAAUGACAUGGUAAAAGAUUCCAAAUCAUGUUGGAAGGCUGAGGCCAUAUGUACAGUGCACAGGUGUAUGCCUCCCAAUAUUUUUAAAGGACACUGCUCUCGUUCGGCACUCUUCUGUUGUUUGUUGGCUGAUACAUUUCGUUAAAGAAAAUAUAAACAAAAAAUCCUGCUGUGAGGAAGCUUUGGGGUAUGGAAGAGUAAGACGAUAGAAGAUGGGAGAAUUUGAAAUGCAUGGAAUAUUUGUUUUAAUUUUAAAUAAAG